AGCGAACGCUGGCGGCAGGCCUAACACAUGCAAGUCGAACGAAGUCUUCGGACUUAGUGGCGGACGGGUGAGUAACACGUGGGAACGUACCUUUUGGUUCGGAACAACUCAGGGAAACUUGAGCUAAUACCGAAUGUGCCCUUCGGGGGAAAGAUUUAUCGCCAUUAGAGCGGCCCGCGUUAGAUUAGCCAGUUGGUGGG
This 200-nucleotide ribosomal RNA is filed under the name uncultured bacterium. RNAcentral describes it as "partial 16S ribosomal RNA". It matches the Rfam family "Bacterial small subunit ribosomal RNA", at positions 29 to 256 of the family's 1533-position model. The record is from RNAcentral.